This is a long non-coding RNA of Acanthopagrus latus (yellowfin seabream), 632 nucleotides long. RefSeq lists it as uncharacterized. The record is from RefSeq and is a predicted model, not a curated record. Lineage: Eukaryota; Metazoa; Chordata; Actinopteri; Spariformes; Sparidae. The transcript has 2 exons.
GUGCCUUAAUGACAGAACGCAGUCGAGCUGGUAUGGACUCCACAGGUUUAUGUAAAACCCGCUGAGUCAUUGUAUCCCAGCAUGAAAUUUGCAGUGAUUGUAGUUGAAUUUCAGAACGUUAGAAUUUGGUUUGUCCCUCUUUUGCCUUGAUGACAACAUGCACUCAGGCUUGUAUGGAUUCCACAAAUUCCUUAUACUUUGACUUCUGCCAAAACUAAAGCAAAAAAAAACAACAAAACCCGAAGCCAUUCCAAUCCCUUUUUAAAUGACAGGCGUUUCGCUCGUCAGGUGACGGCCUUGUUCACUCGUACAGACAGAUGAACAUUUGUUUUUUCAUGGAUUGCAUUCUGAACAGUUGGGGAGUGAUGCUUUUCUCCGGCUGCACAAAAACACAGCGGGUGAUGGAGGUGCUUUGCAUUGUGCAUCGAUGCAGCGCCUUGUGAAAAGGUAAAACGGCAGCCAUUGUCGGACCAGAGUGGACGGACGGGAACAAAACAUACACUGGUGGUGUUUCAUGUGGCUCCCCGCUGAGGAUGGCACAAAUUUCCAUUGGAGCGCUGACAGUGAACGCAGCACAGCAUGCCUUUUCCUCCUGACUAACGAUGCAAAUUAUUAAAAUGAUUUUCCCUCCA